UACGUAGGGGGCAAGCGUUGUCCGGAAUUAUUGGGCGUAAAGAGCGCGUAGGCGGUCCGGUAAGUCGGUUGUGAAAGUCGGGGGCUCAACCCUCGGAUGCCGAUCGAUACUGUCGGGCUAGAGUCCGGAAGAGGCGAGUGGAAUUCCUGGUGUAGCGGUGAAAUGCGCAGAUAUCAGGAGGAACACCGGUGGCGAAGGCGGGUCUCUGGGCCGAUACUGACGCUGAGGAGCGAAAGCGUGGGGAGCGAACAGG
RNAcentral lists this ribosomal RNA (253 nucleotides) under uncultured bacterium. Its description in RNAcentral is "partial 16S ribosomal RNA". It matches the Rfam family "Bacterial small subunit ribosomal RNA", at positions 524 to 776 of the family's 1533-position model. The record is from RNAcentral.